RNAcentral lists this ribosomal RNA (253 nucleotides) under uncultured bacterium. RNAcentral's name for it is "partial 16S ribosomal RNA". It matches the Rfam family "Bacterial small subunit ribosomal RNA", at positions 524 to 776 of the family's 1533-position model. The record is from RNAcentral.
UACGUAGGGGGCAAGCGUUGUCCGGAAUCAUUGGGCGUAAAGCGCGCGUAGGCGGCCCGGUAAGUCCGUUGUGAAAGUCCAGGGCUCAACCCUGGGAUGCCGGUCGAUACUGCCGGACUAGAGUUCGGAAGAGGCGAGUGGAAUUCCCGGUGUAGCGGUGAAAUGCGCAGAUAUCGGGAGGAACACCAAUGGCGAAGGCAGCUCGCUGGGACGUUACUGACGCUGAGACGCGAAAGCGUGGGGAGCAAACAGG